GACGAACGCUGGCGGCGUGCUUAACACAUGCAAGUCGAACGGAAAGGCCCUGCUUUUGUGGGGUUCUCGAGUGGCGAACGGGUGAGUAACACUUGAGUAACCUGCCCUUGACUUUGUGAUAACUUCAGGAAACUGGGGCUAAUACCGGAUAGGAGCUCCUGCUGCAUGGUGUGGGUUGGAAAGUUUCGUCGGUUGGGGAUGGACUCGCGGCUUAUCAGCUUGUUGGUGGGUUAGUGGCUUACCAAGGCUUUGACGGGUAGCCGGCCUGAGAGGGUGACCGGCCAAAUUGGGACUGAGAUACGGCCCAGACUCCAACGGGAGGCAGGAGUGGGGAAUAGUGCACAAUGGGCGGAAGCAUGAUGCAGCAACGCAGAGGGCGGGAUGACGGCCUUCGGGUUGUAAACCGAUUUCGCCUGUGACGAAGCGUGAGUGACGGUAAUGGGUAAAGAAGCACCGGCUAACUACGUG
RNAcentral lists this ribosomal RNA (468 nucleotides) under uncultured bacterium. Its description in RNAcentral is "partial 16S ribosomal RNA". It matches the Rfam family "Bacterial small subunit ribosomal RNA", at positions 28 to 507 of the family's 1533-position model. The record is from RNAcentral.